AUACGGGGGGUGCAAACGUUGUUCGGAAUCACUGGGCGUUAAGGGUCCGUAGGCGGCCCGGCAAAUCGGUUGUGGAAUCCCGGCGCUCACCGUCGGAAUUGCUGCCGAAAAUACCGGGCUAGAGUCCGUCAGGGGCAGGUGGAACUCAUGGUGAAGCGGUGAAAUGCGUAGAUAUCAUGAGGAACGCCGGAGGCGAAAGCGACCUGCUGGGGCGGCACUGACGCUGAGGGACGAAAGCUAGGGGAGCAAACAGGAUUAGAUACCCGAGUAGUCC
Molecule: ribosomal RNA, 274 nt
Filed under: uncultured bacterium
Lineage: Bacteria
Description: partial 16S ribosomal RNA
Rfam family: Bacterial small subunit ribosomal RNA
Source: RNAcentral